CCAGACUCCUACGGGAGGCAGCAGUGAGGGAUAUUGGUCAAUGGGGGAAACCCUGAACCAGCAACGCCGCGUGAGGGAAGACGGUUUUCGGAUUGUAAACCUCUGUCCUCUGUGAAGAUAAUGACGGUAGCAGAGGAGGAAGCUCCGGCUAACUACGUGCCAGCAGCCGCGGUAAUACGUAGGUGACAAGCGUUGUCCGGAUUUACUGGGUGUAAAGGGCGCGUAGGCGGACUGUCAAGUCAGUCGUGAAAUACCGGGGCUUAACCCCGGGGCUGCGAUUGAAACUGACAGCCUUGAGUAUCGGAGAGGAAAGCGGAAUUCCUAGUGUAGCGGUGAAAUGCGUAGAUAUUAGGAGGAACACCGGUGGCGAAGGCGGCUUUCUGGACGACAACUGACGCUGAGGCGCGAAAGUGUGGGGAGCAAACAGGAUUAGAUACCCGGGUA
Molecule: ribosomal RNA, 444 nt
Filed under: uncultured bacterium
Lineage: Bacteria
Description: bacterial SSU rRNA
Rfam family: Bacterial small subunit ribosomal RNA
Source: RNAcentral